This 688-nucleotide ribosomal RNA is filed under the name Flavobacterium sp. T159.10.BNT.W.Gill.N. Its description in RNAcentral is "bacterial SSU rRNA". It matches the Rfam family "Bacterial small subunit ribosomal RNA", at positions 60 to 752 of the family's 1533-position model. Lineage: Bacteria; Pseudomonadati; Bacteroidota; Flavobacteriia; Flavobacteriales; Flavobacteriaceae. The record is from RNAcentral.
AGUCGAGGGGUAGAGUACAAUACUUGAGACCGGCGCACGGGUGCGUAACGCGUAUGCAAUCUACCUUUUACAGAGGGAUAGCCCAGAGAAAUUUGGAUUAAUACCUCAUAGCAUUGCAGGAUGGCAUCAUCCAGCAAUUAAAGUCACAACGGUAAAAGAUGAGCAUGCGUCCCAUUAGCUAGUUGGUAAGGUAACGGCUUACCAAGGCUACGAUGGGUAGGGGUCCUGAGAGGGAGAUCCCCCACACUGGUACUGAGACACGGACCAGACUCCUACGGGAGGCAGCAGUGAGGAAUAUUGGACAAUGGGCGCAAGCCUGAUCCAGCCAUGCCGCGUGCAGGAUGACGGUCCUAUGGAUUGUAAACUGCUUUUGUACGAGAAGAAACACUCCUAUGUAUAGGAGCUUGACGGUAUCGUAAGAAUAAGGAUCGGCUAACUCCGUGCCAGCAGCCGCGGUAAUACGGAGGAUCCAAGCGUUAUCCGGAAUCAUUGGGUUUAAAGGGUCCGUAGGCGGUUUAAUAAGUCAGUGGUGAAAGCCCAUCGCUCAACGGUGGAACGGCCAUUGAUACUGUUAAACUUGAAUUAUUAGGAAGUAACUAGAAUAUGUAGUGUAGCGGUGAAAUGCUUAGAGAUUACAUGGAAUACCAAUUGCGAAGGCAGGUUACUACUAAUUGAUUGACGCUGAUGG